This 370-nucleotide ribosomal RNA is filed under the name uncultured eukaryote. RNAcentral's name for it is "partial 18S ribosomal RNA". It matches the Rfam family "Eukaryotic small subunit ribosomal RNA", at positions 592 to 976 of the family's 1831-position model. The record is from RNAcentral.
CAAUAGCGUAUAUUAAAGUUGUUGCAGUUAAAAAGCUCGUAGUUGGAUUUCUGGUCGGAAGCUCCUGUCCUCUGAUGAGCGUACAAGUGCGUCCUACCAUCCUUCUGUUAACCUUUAAGGCUUUCGCGGCUUUCUAGGGGCUCAGAUAUUUUACCUUGAGAAAAUUAGAGUGUUUCAGGCAGGCUAGCGCCGGAAUACAUUAGCAUGGAAUAAUGGAAUAGGACUUUUGCCUCUUCUGUUGGUCAUGAGGCUCGAGUAAUGAUUAAUAGGGAUAGUUGGGGGCAUCAGUACUUAACUGUCAGAGGUGAAAUUCUCGGAUUUGUUAAAGACUAACUUAUGCGAAAGCAUUUGCCAAGGAUGUUUUCAUUAA